GCGGCCGAGCCGCUGCGGUCUGUCCGCCACCUGUCCCGCGUGCUGCUCUUCCUGUCCCAGUGCUACAUUCUGUCGGGCGAUGAGAAUCAGCUGUUCUCUCACCUCACAGAAAGUACUGAGAUCCCUCCUUACAUGAUGAAGUGUCCAAGCAAUGGCUUAUGUAGCAGACUUCCUGCAGACUGCAUAGAGUGUGCGACCAAUGCCUCCUGUACUUAUGGGAAGCCUGUCACGUUUGACUGCACGGUGAAACCCUCUGUUACCUGUGUCG
RNAcentral lists this long non-coding RNA (268 nucleotides) under Rattus norvegicus (Norway rat). RNAcentral describes it as "long non-coding RNA NONRATT000776". Lineage: Eukaryota; Metazoa; Chordata; Mammalia; Rodentia; Muridae. The record is from RNAcentral.